GGAGCAUCCAGUGGCUACCAUCGGUUCCCUUCAUUGACCUAGGCACCGUGCAGGCACAAUUGUCAACACAGCACCUUCUGACCGGGCAGGUGAGGCAAGCAAAGCAGGCAGAGACCAGAGCAUCUCCAAACCAUACAAUAGAGCACCUCCAAACCAUACAAGAGCACCUCCAAACCAUACAACAGAGCACCUCCAAACCAUACAACAGAGCACCUCCAAACCAUACAAGAGCACCUCCAAACCAUACAACAGAGCACCUCCAAACCAUACAAGACCACCUCCAAACCAUACAAGACCACCUCCAAACCAUACAAGACCACCUCCAAACCAUACAACAGAGCACCUCCAAACCAUACAAGAGCACCUCCAAACCAUACAAGAGCACCUCCAAACCAUACAAGAGCACCUCCAAACCAUACAAGAGCACCUCCAAACCAUACAAGACCACCUCCAAACCAUACAAGACCACCUCCAAACCAUACAACAGAGCACCUCCAAACCAUACAAUAGAGCACCUCCAAACCAUACAAGAGCACCUCCAAACCAUACAAGAGCACCUCCAAACCAUACAACAGAGCACCUCCAAACCAUACAACAGAGCACCUCCAAACCAUACAA
This 618-nucleotide long non-coding RNA is filed under the name Pan troglodytes (chimpanzee). RNAcentral describes it as "long non-coding RNA NONPTRT012914". The record is from RNAcentral. Lineage: Eukaryota; Metazoa; Chordata; Mammalia; Primates; Hominidae.